GAAAGCAAAUGAAGAGAUGGAAAAACUGAAAGGGGAGGCACAAGCAAACAAGGAUCACAUGCUAUAGUAUAAAGAAAUAGCACAAGUGAAUGAAGUUGCAAUGAAGCAAAUUGAAUCUGCUCAUAAAAAAUUCAAGGCUGAGGCUGACAAGUUAAAGAAGUCACUAGAGGAUGAAAUUCAUUUUCUCAAUGGAAGGGUUUCAGAACUUGAAAGUGAUCUUGUGUCAAAGUCCACAGAAGU
Long non-coding RNA from Magnolia sinica, 240 nucleotides. RefSeq lists it as uncharacterized. The transcript is spliced from 3 exons. The record is from RefSeq and is a predicted model, not a curated record. Lineage: Eukaryota; Viridiplantae; Streptophyta; Magnoliopsida; Magnoliales; Magnoliaceae.